Molecule: long non-coding RNA, 603 nt
Organism: Mercenaria mercenaria
Lineage: Eukaryota; Metazoa; Mollusca; Bivalvia; Venerida; Veneridae
Exons: 2
Source: RefSeq, a predicted model, not a curated record
CAAUAACAUAAUUGAAACUGAUAACUGAAGUAUCAUAUUUUGUUGGUCUGCAACUUCAUCUUUUAUACUCUUUAGUCAGUUGCAACGUAGAAUUAUAUGAAUUUAUAGGACGGACCAUUUCAGGUCAAGUACUAUGAACUUUGACAUGACAUUGUGAGCUACCUUUAUUAGACCUGACGUCUGGGAUCAUUUUUAAUAUAGUUUAAACAUAGUUUAAUAGUUUAGAUUAAUUUUGCACUGUUUUUAUGAUGUGUUUAGGUGGAGUAUGUGUGAUCAUGCCAAAGGAGGGAAGGAAAGUCAUGUACUUACUAGUUCGUGGAAGUUCAUUCAAGUGACCGGAAUUUCGAAAGAUGCAAGACAUCAUUCUACAUCCAUUCCGCAAUAUAAAAGUCUGAACAUGUUUAUAUGUAUAUUUUAGGGGACAGUUUUUAUUAAAUUCAACUAAUAUAGCUACUUAAAGUGCAAAUAAACAGAAUUACUAAUCAAUGACCUGGAAAUGAAACAUUAACUAGGCUUAAAGGCAUUUUGUAUAAUGAAUACAAUCUGUGAUCUGAGAUAGCUUUAUUCCUUACCUAAUAUGUGAAUAAAACUAUACACCUGUAA